CCUACGGGAGGCAGCAGUGGGGAAUAUUGCACAAUGGGGGAAACCCUGAUGCAGCGACGCCGCGUGAGUGAAGAAGUAUUUCGGUACGUAAAGCUCUAUCAGCAGGGAAGAAAAUGACGGUACCUGACUAAGAAGCCCCGGCUAACUACGUGCCAGCAGCCGCGGUAAUACGUAGGGGGCAAGCGUUAUCCGGAUUUCCUGGGUGUAAAGGGAGCGUAGACGGCAGCGCAAGUCUGGAGUGAAAUCCCAUGGCUUAACCAUGGAACUGCUUUGGAAACUGUGCAGCUAGAGUGCAGGAGAGGUAAGCGGAAUUCCUAGUGUAGCGGUGAAAUGCGUAGAUAUUAGGAGGAACACCAGUGGCGAAGGCGGCUUACUGGACUGUAACUGACGUUGAGGCUCGAAAGCGUGGGGAGCAAACAGGAUUAGAUACCCGAGUAGUC
This 440-nucleotide ribosomal RNA is filed under the name uncultured bacterium. RNAcentral describes it as "partial 16S ribosomal RNA". It matches the Rfam family "Bacterial small subunit ribosomal RNA", at positions 338 to 795 of the family's 1533-position model. The record is from RNAcentral.